RNAcentral lists this ribosomal RNA (482 nucleotides) under uncultured bacterium. RNAcentral describes it as "partial 16S ribosomal RNA". It matches the Rfam family "Bacterial small subunit ribosomal RNA", at positions 30 to 507 of the family's 1533-position model. The record is from RNAcentral.
AUUGAACGCUGGCGGCAUGCCUUACACAUGCAAGUCGAACGGUAACGGGCCUUCGGGUGCCGACGAGUGGCGAACGGGGGCGUAAUACAUCGGAACGUGCCCGAUCGUGGGGGAUAACGAGGCGAAAGCUUUGCUAAUACCGCAUACGAUCUACGGAUGAAAGCAGGGGACCGCAAGGCCUUGCGCGGACGGAGCGGCCGCUGGCAGAUUAGGUAGUUGGUGGGAUAAAAGCUUACCAAGCCGACGAUCUGUAGCUGGUCUGAGAGGAUGAUCAGCCACACUGGGACUGAGACACGGCCCAGACUCCUACGGGAGGCAGCAGUGGGGAAUUUUGGACAAUGGGCGCAAGCCUGAUCCAGCCAUGCCGCGUGCAGGAUGAAGGCCUUCGGGUUGUAAACUGCUUUUGUACGGAACGAAAAGCCUUCUUUUAAUACAGGAGGGUCAUGACGGUACCGUAAGAAUAAGCACCGGCUAACUACGUG